AGAAUAUGCAGAGAGGAAGAGGGGACAAUUUCAACAGUCCAUUUGGAGGGAUAAUGUCAAGUAUAUUUGGAUUUGGAGGAAGAGACCCAUUCGAUGAUCCAUUCUUCUCUCGCCCUUUUCCAAACUUGUCUCGGACCUCCAUCUUACAUCCAACAACUCCUCAUGAUGAUGAAUCUAAUAGGCCAGUCAUUCAAGAGAUUGAUACGGAGGAUGAUGAUGAAGAUGCACCGCUAGAACCAGAUGAGGAGAGCGGGGACGUGAAUGGCUGUAACAAGGAAAGAGAUAGGGCUUAUGCUAACAGAAAUCCACUUGUUGAACAUCCUGAAGACCUAACGGAUGACCAUAGCAAGAGCAGCAAGAUCAUAAGCAAAGAUGUGACUCGUGGAAUGGAAGACAUGAAAUUGGAAGGAACACAGUCUAAGCCUCAGAGCAUGAGCUAUAGAAGAGUUACAUAUGGUGGAAUAAACGGGACAUAUUACACUGCCACGACCACACGGAGAGCUGGAAAUGAUGGAAGGGUGUUAGAGGAGAGCAAGCAAGCAGAUAGCACAACGGGUCAAGCAACACAUAGAAUUUCCAGAGGAAUUCAGGAUAAGGGGCACUCGUUGACAAGGAAACUUGCCUCAGAUGGUAAGGUGGAUACAAUGCAGACUUUGCAUAAUCUAGAAGAAGAUGAAUUAGCUGGCUUUGAACAGACAUGGAAUGGCAAUGCUAAUAACGAAAUCCCUGGAUGGAAUAGUGGAUUUGAUUUCCACGCAAAUGCAGGAACAAGCAGUAAUUGGCUGACGAACUGGGAAGCUGGAUUCCGAGAUCCAUUUAGUGGUGCGAGACCAAGUGACAACAGUGCUCAGAGUGCUCAGCGAAGGACGCAAAGUGGAAGACCAAAGAAGGUUGUUCGGAUUAAUAUAGAGUGAAUGUACGCGUUCACCGGAUUGAUAUCGAGCUAUGGAAUGGUGAAUUUCCUAGGUAGAAGACUACUAUAUUUGAUGGUUUAGGGUCUUGGUGAGAGGUAAUAAAAGCAGUUGUAGGUCUAUAAAGAAGGGAUUGUUGUAUCUGGGUUCGGUUGUAAUAUUAAUGCUUUAUCCAGAGCUGUAUUUGUAUUUGUUCGACUUUACAUCAUACAAUUGAUUAAAUAGUACUCUUUCAAGCUAUAUAGAAGAAAAAAACAAGUAUAUUUAGUGAAAGUAUCCGUUAUGGGAUGUCAAAAGA
RNAcentral lists this unclassified non-coding RNA (1209 nucleotides) under Hevea brasiliensis (rubber tree). Lineage: Eukaryota; Viridiplantae; Streptophyta; Magnoliopsida; Malpighiales; Euphorbiaceae. The record is from RNAcentral.